RNAcentral lists this long non-coding RNA (567 nucleotides) under Cucumis sativus (cucumber). RNAcentral's name for it is "long non-coding RNA (CSAT_LNC001977)". The record is from RNAcentral. Lineage: Eukaryota; Viridiplantae; Streptophyta; Magnoliopsida; Cucurbitales; Cucurbitaceae.
UUUUUAUUCGGUUUAUUAAAUUCCAUUUCUAUUUCAUUACGGUGGUUCUUAUAUUUCAGUUCUUGAAGUUUGCAUAAAUAAUUGAAACAGAAAUUAAUAUAUGGCCAUUUGAUUUUCCUUUACUUUGUGAAUUAAUUUCAUACUGAGAGCAUAUAUUUUCUGUGGUAUUUUAGAGAACACAUGUAGUUGAGUGUUGGGUUUUAAAAUGCAACACCUUGAAAAUUGGCACCAAAAUGAUAAACCUGUUUAAGUUUAAAUCAAAAAUAGAAAAUAGUGAAACAUUUAGGUGCCUUGUACUCGACUUUUAUUGAUUGGUUUUACCAAGAUUCCUCCUUUCUUUCUUUUCCAGGUGAUUCUGAUAUUAUCAAAUCGCUUCCCGGUGAUCAGUGAUUUUUGUGUCAUUGAGAACGUUAGUUUAUUUAUUUUCUUUUGCACCUUUUCUUUUCAGCAAAGGUAAAAGUUGCACUGAUUUUAAAGUCCCCAGAGUAGCUACCAACUUUAAGCAUUAAAAUUGUAUUGUUGAUAACCAGAUUUUGUCAAUGUCUUUGAGGUUUUAUGUAGAAUGCU